GAAAGAUUGUCUUCGGAGAAUCGAGUAGAGUGGCGCACGGGUGAGUAACGCGUAAGUUAUCUACCCCUUCAUCUGGAAUAACUCAGCGAAAGCUGUGCUAAUACCGGAUACGCUGGAAACAGGAAAGAUGGCCUCUUCUUGAAAGCUAUCGUGGAGGGAUGAGCUUGCGUACCAUUAGCUAGUUGGUAGGGUAAUGGCCUACCAAGGCAACGAUGGUUAGCGGGUCUGAGAGGAUGAUCCGCCACACUGGAACUGGAACACGGACCAGACUCCUACGGGAGGCAGCAGUGAGGAAUAUUGCGCAAUGGGGGCAACCCUGACGCAGCGACGCCGCGUGGAUGAUGAAGGCCUUUGGGUCGUAAAAUCCUGUCAGAUGGAAAGAAAUGCGUAGUGGUUAAUACCCAUUACGUUUGACGGUACCAUCAAAGGAAGCACCGGCUAACUCCGUGCCAGCAGCCGCGGUAAUACGGAGGGUGCAAGCGUUGUUCGGAAUUACUGGGCGUAAAGCGCGCGUAGGUGGUCAUGUAAGUCAGAUGUGAAAGUCCACGGCUCAACCGUGGAAGUGCAUUUGAAACUGUAUGACUUGAGUACUGGAGGGGGUAGUGGAAUUCCCGGUGUAGAGGUGAAAUUCGUAGAUAUCGGGAGGAAUACCGGUGGCGAAGGCGACUACCUGGCCAGAUACUGACACUGAGGUGCGAAAGCGUGGGGAGCAAACAGGAUUAGAUACCCUGGUAGUCCACGCCGUAAACGAUGUCAACUAGGUGUUGGGAUGGGUAAUCAUCUCAUUGCCGGAGCUAACGCAUUAAGUUGACCGCCUGGGGAGUACGGUCGCAA
RNAcentral lists this ribosomal RNA (834 nucleotides) under uncultured bacterium. Its description in RNAcentral is "bacterial SSU rRNA". It matches the Rfam family "Bacterial small subunit ribosomal RNA", at positions 68 to 891 of the family's 1533-position model. The record is from RNAcentral.